AGGACGAACGCUGGCGGCGUGCUUAACACAUGCAAGUCGAGCGGAAAGGCCUUUCGGGGUACUCGAGCGGCGAACGGGUGAGUAACACGUGAGUAAUGUGCCCAUCGCUUCAGGAUAGCCAUCGGAAACGGUGAUUAAAUACUGGAUAUGACAUUCCUUCGCAUGUUGGGGUGUGGAAAGUUUUUUCGGCGGUGGAUGUGCUCGCGGCCUAUCAGCGUUGUUGGUGGGGUAAUGGCCUUACCGAAGGCUUUGACGGGUA
RNAcentral lists this ribosomal RNA (259 nucleotides) under uncultured soil bacterium. RNAcentral's name for it is "partial 16S ribosomal RNA". It matches the Rfam family "Bacterial small subunit ribosomal RNA", at positions 26 to 285 of the family's 1533-position model. The record is from RNAcentral.